RNAcentral lists this ribosomal RNA (253 nucleotides) under uncultured bacterium. RNAcentral describes it as "partial 16S ribosomal RNA". It matches the Rfam family "Bacterial small subunit ribosomal RNA", at positions 524 to 776 of the family's 1533-position model. The record is from RNAcentral.
UACGGAGGGUGCAAGCGUUAUCCGGAUUCACUGGGUUUAAAGGGUGCGUAGGCGGGUAUAUAAGUCAGUGGUGAAAUACAGCCGCUCAACGGUUGAGGUGCCAUUGAUACUGAUUAGCUUGAAAGAAUUGGAGGCUGCCGGAAUGGAUGGUGUAGCGGUGAAAUGCAUAGAUAUCAUCCAGAACACCGAUUGCGAAGGCAGGUGGCUACGAUUUAUUUGACACUGAGGCACGAAAGCAUGGGGAGCAAACAGG